AAGGAGGGGCUUUUCUGAAGGGCAGGUAGCUGGCGUCUGGGCUGACAAAGUUAAGAAAAUAAACAACAAAACACCUGGGAGGAGACACGUGGAGGGCUUAGAGAGGCUGAGGGGGAUCAGGAUAGCCUCGUGCAGGUCUCCUUGCGUGCAUUUGGGAAAUGGUUGUUUUCCUACAUCAUACAGUUCACAUAUGUCAGGGAUCUGAAUUACGUAAAAGUAUUCAAUUUAUUUCCAUGAAGUAUAAGCUUUGGCACCAAUGAUCAAAAUUCAGGAAAUGAAGAUUGAGAAAGCAAAUGAAAAGGAGAAUAAAGCUAUUAAGUGAUUAAAAUGAAGAUUUGUAUUUUGUAUACAUUGAUGACUACUUUCAUGUAUGUUGUGUUUAAAAUACACUUUGUUUUUAAAGAUGGAUAAUGAAGGUUCUUGUAGUUUUGCAAUCCUUACCAGGACACUCUUUACAGUUGUUACUUUUAAGUG
Molecule: long non-coding RNA, 474 nt
Organism: Lagopus muta (rock ptarmigan)
Lineage: Eukaryota; Metazoa; Chordata; Aves; Galliformes; Phasianidae
Exons: 3
Source: RefSeq, a predicted model, not a curated record